This is an RNA transcript of Gorilla gorilla gorilla (western lowland gorilla), 19432 nucleotides long. It is a transcript of the gene named collagen alpha-1(XVII) chain-like, with no coding region annotated. NCBI's taxonomy places the organism in Eukaryota, Metazoa, Chordata, Mammalia, Primates, Hominidae. The record is from RefSeq and is a predicted model, not a curated record. The transcript has 6 exons.
GCCCGCGCGCGCCGUCCCGGGGUGGGGGGCGGUGGAAGGGGGAACCCAGGAGGGGCGGCGCCCGGUCUUCACCCGCAGCGGGCACGGCGGGGGCCGCGGGGGGCCUCGUUGGUAUUCCGGGCGCGGUUGCAUCCGCGACCUCCCCGCAGAACAGGGGUGCCCGGGCGCGCGGGCACCGCCGCCGCUCUCGGGCGGUCUCCGCGGGCUGCGGGGCCCGCAGGCGCCUUGCUUUCCCCGUCCCCUCCUCCCUGGGUUCCCCGUACUCCCUCCCCCGCUCCGAUCCGGCGGCGAAGGGGUGGGCAGGGAAACGCGCUCUCUGGGACAGGUGCCAACUCCGAGACAAAAGACAUAAAAUAGGCGGCAACGGGGGAAGCGCGGCCGGCGCGCUCGGGCGGGGACGGCGGCGCCGCGGGGGCCGCAUCCUCGGUGCCGACCCGGGAAAGUUUGGGAAGUCGCUGCAGCGGCUUCGCAGCGGCGGGGGACGCGCGGCCCGGGUCGCCCUCCGCGCCGCGCUCGCCCUCUCCGCGCCGCUGCUGAAUAAUUCAUGGCGCGGCCGCCGGCCAUUAGCAUGCACCGGGCGCGCGGCGCGUCUGUGCCAAGCCGCCGCCGCAUUCGGCGCCCGGGCAGCGCCAGACGAGCGGCCGCGCGGCGGCCGGGCCCACGCUGUCCCCGCGCCCGCCCGUCCGGCGGCGCCCAUUGUGCCCCGGCCCGCCCCGCCGGGCUGUCCCCAAGCCCGCCUGCAACCCACCGCCCGCCCGACGGCCCGGCCCUGCAAGUCCUGGCUCGCGACGCCCGCCCCGGAAUGCACGUGAACUUGGAGAAAGUCGCGGGGCGCGCCGGCCGGGCUCUCCGCGGCAGGGCGUGGGCGUCCCGGGGCCGGCGCGCUUUCGUUUUCGUCUGGGACAAAGGUCCCUUGCGGCGCGCGGACGCCGUGACCGGGUCCUGCGGGCCACUCUGUGGCGCAGUCGGGUCGCUAAGCGCAGGGAAGCCGGAGCCCGAAGGCAAGGAGAGACGCGGCGCGGGGCCGGGGAAGUGGGGCCUGGGCCCUGCGCUUCGCCAGCGGCAGUCCAGAGCCGUCCCACCCUGCGAAGAGUUGCGGGAACUGGCACCGCUCUGCCGUCCGCCGCUUCGACGCGGGAAGAGGGUGAGCGUUUGGAACCCAGGACUCAGACCGCUAGCUGAGGGCCUAUGCAGCUCUGGGCACGCGAGCGCGGCGCCGGCGGCGGCCAGGCACGGUCCUCCCGCAAGGGCAGGGCUGUCGACCUGUGCGCCCCAGGUCACGAUCGGGUUCACGGCGACUCCUGAGGACGGUAAGUGCAUUUCUCACUUUCGCUGCUUAGUGAGUAUUUAAAUAUUAAUGAAGGGAUCUCUAAGAGGGACCCUUCCGUAGGGCAGGCCUUCCACAGACCAGGGAACGCACCGAGGAGGUUGCUCUUGAACCUGAAGCCGCACCAGCUUGCAAGAACUCCACUCGGCAUUAAUCUGGAUCUUGGAAUUUGUGAAGCACAGCUUCUAAUCUCAGGUGUGCAGGCUAUUUGCCAGAGAGAAUCUUGUUGAACACAUAAAAUAAGCGUUAGCAGACAUCUUAAACACAAUGGGAAGAAAAGAGAAAACAUCUGUUUUUAGAAUUUUUUUUUUUUUUUUUUGGUGAGAUGUGUUUGGAAAGGUUAUUGGGAAGCUACAACUCUUUCUUGGAAGAUUGGAAUAUUUCAUUUACUUCCUAAACCCACGCUGCUGAUUUUUUCCCCCUGGUCGGACACUUGAGGACAGCUGAUUUAAAGGGGGGAUCCUCGGUUCGGCGUUGGCGGCAUUUGGGCCGGUUCAGUGAAAGGCCCUUGUGUGAAAGCUGUUGUUUACGGUGGUGUAAGACGAAAACCAAUUCAUAACUUUUUGUGAUAAAUGCCCCUUUAUAGGUGCCUCACACAGGCCCAGCCAGUGGCCCUGGGGAGUUUGUGAGGAGCAAGAAGGGGGUGAAGGAAUGCUUGCUUGCAAUGAUUAUAGGGUUUCAAGGUAACGUGGAGAUUAAUUUUUUUCAAAGGUGGGUUUCAAAAGCCGAGGCAGCCUGCAGGCCAGCAAUAGCUUCAUUUUAUUGGAGUUCAUUGGCUCUAGCUCUUUGGGGUUUUAAAAUACGUGUUUGUCCGUGUGUGUACGGAGCUAGGGUUAAAAUGAAACCCCGAACUGUGGGGGAUUGAGCCUGCUCUUUAGUAUGAUUGUGUUACAGGUGCAAUGUCCCCCCUGCCCUCCCCACCUUACUGAGGUGGUUUGGAUAAUCUUGCUGGGUGCUUUCACCACAAAAUAAUGGGGGGCCUGUUUCCAUAACACCCCAGGGCCAUGAGCUGGCUCUUGGAGGCUGUGUUUCUGGGAACAGGGACAGAGGCCUGGGUAGUCCAGGCUUGCCUCAUGCCUCCCUCCCCCUUGGCUGCCUAGUGCCCUCCCCAAAAACCCCAAGGACUGAGGGGACCAUUUCAGUCGGGUCCAGCCAGCCGCGGCCGGAGGUGGAAAGUUUGCCUCCGUGCUGGAAGAACUAACCUUGGCCGUCUUUUUUGCUGGGCUGCCUCUCCCAUUGCCCCCUUGCUCCAUUUUGGGUUUUUAUUUAUGACUUUAUCAGAGGCAGUUAGCAGACAUGAAACCUGGGGUGGGACAUUCGGGGGCGAUCUCAGAAUCGGGGCGCAGCUGCAGAAGACAUGCCGUGAUAGCCGGGAGCUUCUAGUUGGCAUGGCGUUGGCAGUGACGAGGUUGGUAAUUAGAAGAAGCUCAAGUUCCACCGGGGCCUUGCCUGUAAAAUGCUGGAGACGUUUACCCGGAGGCCACAGCAGACUGGGAACAUAGCACGGAGGGCAGGCAUGGUGUGGCACUCUCCUGAGGCUGCAGGGAGUCCCUCUGGAUUAAAACAGAUUCCGAAACAAGCGGUAUCCAGCUCUCCUGCUCCCACAGGCCAGACUCGGGGCUAGCCAGGGAAAGGCCUGAACGUCGGAGGAGGCAGUCUCCAGGGCCGCCAAGUGAGGGCUGCUAUUCAUCAAAGCUCCAGAGCCCUGUCUCCUGCCACACAGUGUGGCCCUGGCCCAUGAAAUGGGAUGAGGUCAAGAUUCUGCAGCCAACAGUCGCGGCCAGCGCUGGGCACAGAAGCCCUGGCGAGGCCCCGUCCUGCCUUUGUCCAUGUUCCUUAGAGCCAGCUCAGCCUGACAGAGUCUCAGGGUCCCACCAGGGGCUUCCCAGUGGUGUUGGAGUCUCCCAUCCCGGCACAGUUCAUUUUUGAGGGCACACACACAAAAGAGAAGGCUCUGAAAAUGAAACUGACACUUGUCUGUUUUUUUAAUCGCCUCUGGAUUUAACAUCAAGAAUGUGGAAAGCAGUGGCCCAGGGCCACAAGGACUAUGGUGUGGGCUGGUGGAAGGAUGGGCCCCGGUUUUUCUGGUUUUGUUUUAAACCAGGGCCUACCCCAGGAUAGUCCGUCGCCUGUGCUGGGGCCUCACCAGGCCCCAGACCCUCCUGGGUGAGAAGGGUCUCCAGGGUGCUGAUGGGGACGAGCUGGGCUCCACUUGGGCCGUGCCCCUCUGCCAUGGUGAGGUCUCGUGCACACUGCCUGAGCAGGUGCAGGCCAGCAGUUUGCCUUGCUCCGCAGCAACAGCGUGGUGCUUUGCAGCAGGGUUACCUUUUGUUAUGUGGUUUGCACCUGGCUGGGUCAGGCUGUCUGUGUGAACCUGUCUCACUCCCUCCGACCCCCUAAAGGGCAGUGGGGCCUUUCCUACCUAGCAUGGAUGGGGUGUGACUGGAAGGCAGACCGUGUGGCCCAGGAGGAACUGGGAAGAGCUCUGCCCACCCAGAUGGGCACCCUGCCUGGGCAGGUGCUGCCUCGUGUCCAGGGGAACCUCUCGUGCAGUGUAGAUGCAUGCCUGUGCUGAAGGGCGGCCUCUGGGAAGGGAGGGGUCCUUCCAGGCCGGGCAGGAAACACCAUAAAGCCACCAUGCUUCCUUGGGGUGUUGUCGUUGGGUUUUGAGGGUUCUUUGCAUGUUUGGGGAGAGAGGAGAAUGCUCUUGCCGAAAUCGCAGCAAGCAGGAGUCUGAGCACCCUGAGCUUCAGUCUGCCCCUGCCCCUCCCUGGGUGACCCUGGCACAUCUGAGCUCCUCCCUCCGCCUGGAUUCUGAGCUGUAAAGCGGGAAGAGUGUUAACCCACCUCAGAGACUUCAAACAUUAUUUCCAUAAAGCACCAUUCCAGGCACGUUGUCGGGGAGGGGCGGGACAUAAAUGGCUACUGCUGUUGUCACUUAUUGUUGUCAACAAUAAUCACUGUUGUUGUUUAAUUUUUAUUUAUUUUACUUACCACUACUAUUAUUUUAUAUAUUGUAUGAUGUUAUAUUCUAAGUAACAGAUAACCCAACUUCGGUCUCAUCAGAAAAUGAACCAAGAAGUUUACUCUCCCGGCCCCACAGGUGGGAGCAAAAGUGGACCUUGAUGAUACCUCCCAGGUAGACUGGCAGGAGGUUGCAGAGCCAGCGCUUUCCUCACCACAGGGACUUGGUGUGAAUGUGGCUUCCAGAUGCAUCUUGCACCUCACAUUGGGUACACAAGAUGAGACCAGGGUCUCCUUGGGGACCCGGGAAGUGCUGACGGAGGAGGCACUCCUUCCCAGGGACAGGACGGAAAGCAUGCCUGGGUGCUGGCCCUGGAUCUGACCUUCCCCCCCCCCCCCCCCACUUCAGGGGCAGGAAAGAAGGGGGCAGGACGUCCUGAUGCAGGGGCCCAGAGCAGCCACACCAGCCACCAGCGUCCUCGCUGGAAAUGCAGAUGGUGAUUUCUUGGGAGGGUUUCACCACUCUGACGAGCUAAUUGUUCUUUGGCCUGGUACGUUAACCAAAAUGCUUGCUUUGGUGAAUUUUCCCUCCUAGCUGGUCGUUCAGGAAGACCCAGCAAGAUCGUCCUUGCUGAAAACAUCUUGUCGGAAUAAGAGAGAGCUCUAAAUGGCAUGGGUCAUGCUUUCUGAUGUUAUAGAACUGAGUAGGGAGAAAAAGCAACAAUUGUCUCCAAGCAGAGACAAUGGAUCUUUCAUAUGAAAUAUUUAUUUUCAGGGCUGCCCACUGUUCCCUGGGCUGGGACGGUCCGUGGAGCUCGAGCAUCUGGGAAUGGCAAGCCCCAAACAUGUAGUUGGGGACAGAGAUUUAGAGAAGAAAAAAGAAAGUCUCCUGACCCGUGGUUCUUGAACAAUUUCACUGGGCACGUCUGGCUUUCUUUGUCGAGUGGAGGCUAAGCUUGCACGAGUUAAUUUUGUUUUCUUCCGUGAUUUUUUUUUUUUGAAAGCCGCAGGACUGCACUUGGCGAGUGCUAGAAAGACGGCCACGUUUGGGAUCGUGGGCCGGAUGGGGCCUCCAUCGGCCAGGCCCAGUUGGCCUUAGCCGGCUGGGUCACAAAAUGGAAGUGUGAGGAAAAAUAGAGCCCAGAAGAGGAAGGGUCUGUCCCCAAAGGGCUAAGGGAGAGGCCAUCGAGAGGGCGAUUUGGGCCAAUAUUUGUGGUUUCCCAGUGUCUGCUCCUCCCCAAAUUCCAUUCUCAGAUGAACUUGGGAGUGGCCCGUAGGUUGUGGGAGAGUCUGGCCUGACUUGGUGAAGCCACACACAAGCAAACACCCUUCCAGGCUGGAGAGGGUGUUUUUGUAACUCUGACAAAUGUGGCCCAGAGUUAUGGCUCCGUGAAUAUUUUCUGAAUCGACAGAAUGAAGAGGCCUACACAUGAGCCAUCCCCUGGUCCCUUCUCUGAGGUGCUGGAGGAGCUGCCCCGGGGAAGCCAGGCCAGAGUCCACGCUCCCGUUAGCAGAUGUGGGAGGAGUGGGCCGUGCUGGGGCCGUAGUGAAGCAAUCUGUGGUGCUCGGGGAGCGUUGGGAAGGCUGAGGUGGCCCGUCGGCUGGGGACACCCGGCACAUUACGGGGACCUGUCUGGACACCCCAGUGACACCUUGAAGGAGGACAGAUGAGGGAGUGGCCCUGAUCAGGUGGGGGACCAGGGUCACCCAAGCAGCUUUCUUGGCCAGUUAUAAUAUCUGGCUUCAGAAAUGAGGUUUUAUUUUUUCGUCAAUCGGCUGUCACGUUUUAUUUUUCUUCCAAUGCCAGAGCUUCUCAGCUUGGCCCCUGUAGCCCCGUACGUUAGCCCACUCAGAAGAGAGCUCUUUCAGGGUGUCCAGGAGCCUCUGACACUAUAGGUAGAAUUGGUAUAAUGGAAAUCAUGAAAAAGAAUGAAAUUUUGUGACAAUGGGCAGAAAAACCCCAAAACCAGGUUUCUAGUCACUUUUUUGUGCGUGAUGGGAGGCAGUUUGAAAGUAAAACGAAAAUCGGGGAUGGGAAGCUUCUUGGUGGGGUCUGGACUGGGGAGUCUCAUCUUUCUGACCACCCAGGAACCUGUGUGGAGAGAGUGGCUGGGCCACUGUCCAGCCAGCGCCGAGAGGGUUUCCGAGUAGAGAUGUUACCGCAGGGUCACCGGUUAGUGUCGUAAAAUAAGACUGGUGGUUGUGGUUAGUAAAUGUGUGCAUGGGAUCUACACGGUAAAAAGGCCAAACAAUUUUUUAAGCAGUGAUAGAAUUUCCCUCCAGAUUUAAAAGGAAUCGUCCCUGAUGCUUCUGGCUUUCUAAAACCGGGGCGGUUUAUUUCCCCCACCCCCGCCCCGUGGAACGCCCUUUCCUUCAUUCUGGCAUUUCAGAUGGCAGGAAGAGCAUGUAGCUGAAAUAUUUACCUGCUGAUUUGGGGUUCUUAAAUUUAGAAUCCCCUUUCAUGUGUUUAAGAGAGAUAUUUACAUUCAAAUCAGCCUUUUAUAAUUACAUUUUAAAUUAUAAUAAAAUGAUGGUGCCGGCGCUCCAGUUUUCCGUGUAUUUUAACGGUAAGAGAAGCUGCCGUGAAUUGAAUGGGGGCUACCCAUCACCCAGAGUCCCCGCUGCCCACCGUGUGGGUUCUGGCCUGCCCGGGCACACAUGUGUCCUGAGCAUGGCAGCUACAUGGGUGUUACCUGUGGGGCCCUCCCCGCACUGCCGGGAGAAGGGCCUGACGGGGAUUCUGGCCCCACACAGUGCAAUGGUUGCCCAGCCUCACCACCUGCAGCUUCAUCUGAGAAGGGCCUGAUACGGCCUGGGGUCCAGGCCCACUGCCCUCAUGUCCUGAGCCCCACAGUGGCCUGCAGGCCUGGUUUGGAGGCCAUUAUCUCCUCGGCGGCCGGCCGGGCACAGCAGUGGCCACUUCUGGUCGAGGCAGUUCUGUGGGUGAGGGGCGAGCAUCGCCUCCUGCAACCGUAACCCAGGCCCUGCCUCCCCUGCCAUGCCCCUGUGGGUCCCAUGGUUGCCAUCUCGUCCUCAGUGGCUUCCCGAUGUUGCCUGCUGGCAGGGCAGGCCCCGUGCCAUGGAGCAUGAGGGACCCUUCCCCUCCCAGGGCCAGGCUUUUGGCAGCCAGGCCAAGCCGCUGCUGGAAUGGAAUUCCCGGCGUUCCUGGUGGGGCGCAUGGCAUCGGAAUCCUACCUGCUUUGUCUCUGGCAUCAGCUGGUGAGCCAGUCACGUGGCCGUGUGCGUGAGACCAGAGCCCAGGACUGAGGGCUCCUCCCGGGCGCUUCCUCAUCGCUCACUCACCCCCACCCCCUUUUUUUGGCUUUCAGCAGGACUGGCUCUGAGCAGGCGUAAAACAGUGUUAAAACUGAAUCCGGGCAGCAGGGAGCUCCUGUCCACGGCGGCAGGCUCUCACAGUCCACCGGGCUCUCGCGGUCCACCCAGACCACCCUUUACCUCGAGUCCUUAUGCACAGAAAGGCCCUGAUAUGUCCCAUACACUCAGGAGUUAGGCCCAGAGCUGGGCAGUGGUCACUCCACGCCAUUCCCUCUGGUGUAGAGCUGGCCCUGCCUGCCCCCAGUCGGCCGUGGGGUGGGUGACACCGCUUCCUGGGGAACCCCUUCCCACACUUCUAGCCUUGUUUCUCACCCACACAAGGACACCCCCGUGGUCACUGCUGCAGCUCCCGGUCACAGAGGGUGAGAGGGGAGAGCUGGACAAACAGGUGACCCAGCAGACCCAGCCUGAUGCCCGCAGGAGAGAGCAACGGGGUCUGAUAUUUUGUCUCCAAAUGAAAGAGCCACAGUGAAACCCCAGGCCUGCCAACCCCAGUUGUAGGGCCAGAGAACAGGGAUGUUUCCCUGAGGCGGUGGCAAGGUUUGGUUUGGUGAAAACGAAGGAUUUGUGAGGGUCUGAGAGGGGAGGGUGACUGACCUAGACUCCACCCCUGGCGCCCUGUCCACCGCGGCUGGCUGGCCACUCUCGGACCCCUCGGCGUCGAGCGCUGACUGGGUGCCUGCCUGGGGCUUGGGGCUCUGUGCAUGUUAAUUCUGCCACUCCAGCAGCCCUGAGUGGGAGGAGCCAUUGUCCCCCUUCUUUCUAUAGAUGGGGAAACUGAGGCAGGUUUGCCCAUGGUGAAGUGGCCAGUCAGACACAGGGCCAGAUUGAAACCUGCAGCCUUGGCUCCCGGCUACAACAGCGCCAGCCUCCACAGGCAUUAGAAGGGGACUCACUGCAAGGGCCCCAGCCAGGGCAGCUUUCAGGGUGGGGUCUCUGGCCUCACCCUGGGGAAACGGCCGGGGCGCUGGCUGCCUCCUGCUGAGCCUGGCGUGGGAACAAUGUGGCCUCUAUCCCUGGAGCGAGCCAGGCCGCCUGGACGCCCAGCCCUUCAGAGCAGCCCGGCCAGGCAGGCGCCCACAGCAUGGCGCCCACAGCAUGGCGCCCGGGCCGCGCUGUCCGUCCACGGGGUGCGGGCGCCUUGGCCAGGCCCGGGCAGCCGCUCCCCGUGUCCUCCCUGGCCGGCCACUGAGUGGCCAGACGCUGGCUUCCUCCUCCCUCUCCCGCCCGGCCAGCCUCCUCCUUUUUUGGUGGUGGGUUUGGGGGCCCAGCCCACCCGCCACUGCCACGUCUGCCAUCCUCCCGCACCCACGAGCAUCUUUCAAAAAUUCCCGGUGGGCGGGGCUGAGCUGCAGCGGCCGCCUCUGCCCCCCCUCCCCGGGCAGCCAGUGCCAGAUGAGAGCAGGAGACAAAAGUAGCAUUUUCCUCGUACUCCGGGGCUGGCAGCGGGGCCUUCCCCCAGCACCACAUGGCUCCUGGCAGCCCUGCCCCCUGUGCCGGGGUGGCCGAGGCCCAGCCGGGCCCACUGGACCGAGGGACGGCGGCGGCCAGAGACUAGGGGGCCCGUGGGCCCAUAGCUGGGGCUGGCACCGGGCAGCCUGCUGGCCGGCGGGACCUGCCCUCCUCCCCCACCCGGGUGACCGGCUGGGCCCAGGGACGUCAUUUUCACUUCCUGGCUUUGGAGAAGGCGCCUCCAUCCUCCGGCACCUCGGGUAAGUCACCUUCUUUCCUUCUGUCGUGAAGACGAGCCGAGGGUGCUGCCAUCUUGUGCCCCGGUGCCUGUUACGUGUCCUCCCUCUAAUUGGUUCUCCAAACUCAGAAUUCUAUUUCAGAGCCCUCCAUCUUCCGUGCAGGAAGCCCUGCCAAAAACUGCAGGGAAAAUGCAGAAGCCAAGCCCAUUUACUUUCAAGAUCCAAAGCUACAGGCUUUAGAAAUCACAAUAAAAAUGAAUGUUUAUUAUUUCACAGUAGCUGCGCCUUCCAUUACAAUGGGAACAAAUGCUUUGGGAGUAUUAAUAGCCAUGGCCUACUCCUGCCUUCCUGGUUGUGGCAGUUUGUGUGGGGGUCUCAUUAUUAUUAUUAUUAUUAUCGUCUUAAUUUUUGGCGGCGCCAGGAGUGGCAAAGGGAAAACCACCAGGACCAUCCACGGCUCCUCCCAGCAAACUCAUCGGCAGGCAGGGCCAGGCUGGCACCCGGGAGGGAGGACUUUGCAUCUAGAAACAGAGGCCCUUUUAUUUUGUCCGGCAUCUUUAAUGCUACCAUGUCCACAGUUUAGGGAUCUAGUUCUUUCUCCCUUUCGUUUUAUUUUUUGGAAAAAAAAAAAAAAAAAGAAAAAGGAAAAAGAAAGAAAGCUCCUUUUGGCCCUCAGCUCAGUGUGGGGAAAAAUAUUUUCGGUUGUUUUGGGCUUUGUUUUUGAGCACUUAUUUCAACUUGGGGGUUCCGCCUGAAAGUGCUGGGCCCGUCUUGUCACCACCCUGCCCGCAGACUGUGUGUGGCGUGCACGUGGGCACCGUUCACUACACAGACCCUUGGGGAAGCCCUGAGUGGCCUCAUGGCCUGCCCGUGUCCUGGAUCUCACCCCAGUUCCUCACCUGCAGAGCUGUUGGGGGAGACACCCAGGUCGUCCAGGGCCUGAAACGUGGCCGGCAGGGCUGGGAGUCCCUCAAAGACCUUUGAGUCCCCCCCGCCUUGCCACCUGUGUUCAGGAGCUGGGCUCAGUGGCUGCCCGGGUGUCCCUGUUGGUCCCUGGCCCUCCAAAAGUGCUGAUCCUUUUGAUUCAGAGGUGGGCUUUGCAGAGCACAGCCCCAUGUCCACCUCCACGCUGUGGCAGGCUGACAAAAGCGUCCUCGGAUGCGGCCUGGUUCCCCACCCUUGAGGGGAGCCAGGGUCUUGAUAUAUAGAAAAUGGAAGAAUCAGACCCGGAAAGUUCUAAACGGCACUGAGAGGAAAACUCCCAUGGAAAUCCAUCUUUGUUUUCCCAGUUCGGAGGCGCGUGGGCCCUGCGUGCGCGGGCCUCGGUCUGAGCGGCCGGCCUCGGCAGACAGCACCAAAUCUGUAAACGGAGCUAAGCUCACACGAGGACUCUCGGCGGCUGCUUUUGUUCGUAGAUGAGCCAGCAGUCGAUACUGGAGGGUCUGGGGCUGCAGAAACAGGCAUAUAUAGCAGAGAUAAUUAAAACAUUUCAUGAUUAUGACAGCCACAUUCUGCUGCUGCAAGCUGGAGGAUUCAUGCCACCCAAAUAUUUAGCAAGCAUCAAAUAAAACACUGGUGGCAAAAUAAAAGUAAUAGAAAAAAAAAACAGAGCGUAAUACAUUUCAAAGGCAAAAGAGUCAAGGGGAUGGAUAGGGAAUGGGUCGGGGGAAAAGUGGGGAGAGUUCAGCAUUUUAAAAGAAUUCACAUGUUUAAUAGCUGGCCACUCAUUUUUUUUUUUUGGUAUAAUUAAUGUAGGCAAACAGACCCUUAAUUCUAAAUCCUGGAAUGAGAGAUGGUAAAAUUUCCUGAUUAUUAAUUUAUCAUUUUUGUUUUUUGUACAGGGUAGGGGCAAGUAGCAGAAAAAUCAAUUAAUUCACAUAAAGGAACAUUUUCAUUCUAAAUUAAUAUUGCCACUGCAAUUAAAUUUAUCUAGUAUUUUUAACAUGUAUGGAUAACACACUUUCCUGUGUACACCUUGGAUAGCUGGGACCGUUAUAUGUGAUCAACUAUCAUCUUAGUUUUUUCGCUUGGUUAACACUUCACCCCUCCCCCCACCUCAAAAUCAGUAAAAUGCUGUGGAUUCUGCUCUUUAAAAAAAUCAGGCCAAAAUCUCAGCAUUCUCCAUGGCUCCCAGUGCUUCUCGGCAGUUUUGUUUUUUUUUUUUUUUUUUUUUUUUGAAGAAAGUACCACGCAAAGCACUUUUCACAUCAUCGCUUCUAUAUAAAUUCCACUAUAGACUGAAAUUAUACAUUCUCGCAGCACAGAUGGGCUGGUCUGUCAUUACGGCUGCUGGGUACUUGUUGGAACACACAGCAUAUUUCAAUUGUGGAGUCGACAAUUUCGAAGAACUGGGGUCAAAAUAAACAAGUUGCAUUUGUGUAUAGAAACAGACUUAUUCAAUGAUCUUCUCAUCCCCUGGAAAAUUCGGCAGAGGAACGAUCAUCACCUUCAUUAAACUUGAAUUUAAUUUUUGGUCUUCAUUUUUUAAGACCCCACGUGCCCUGUGUCAAAGGCCCAUCAGUGUUUUAAUUAAUUACCAAUUUUUCUCUUAUGCUGCAGCGUUAGCAGUGGAACACAAGAUUUAAAUUCAAACUCGUGGGUGUGGCUUUUCAUAUCUUUUGACUUUAAUUUUAACAUCUUAAUAAUUUUAAUAUCUUACUAAUCUCUAUAGGGGCGGUGUGAAACCUCUGUUCGGUGUUAAGUUGCAUAUUAUUUUGAGGCCUUUAUGAAAAAUCAGAUGAUUCGUAUUUAGGAUGGUCUAAAGAUACAUUUAAAUCCAAACACCACCCACAAAAAAACUCAGCAGGUAAAAUACAUAGAGUAGCCGUAAACUUAAAAAUUAUCUCACCAAGAUAACAAAGUGCAGAAUUUAUUGGUUUGUAUCAACCUCCUUGAGGGCAGAGCAGUUUUUACAGCCACAAUAAUUUGCAAAUGAUGAUAACUGUUUAUUUUGCAAAUAUGCUCAUAUUAUGAGGCCAUCAGUGGAGGCUUCUUUCUUUUCCCAUACGUGUAAGUGUUUGCCUCUGUGUUUCUAAAUUCUGGAUUCAGGCUCUGCAGUUUCUCACUGGCUGAGACCACGUUCCCACGUUCCUGCCUCAGUGGCAGUGGCCGGGAGGAGGGAAGGGCGCGCCCCCUGUGUUGCCUCCUGCGAGCUCCAGCCGCCACAUCCAUUUGUUCAUAGAAGUGUUUUGUUGUGGCUUGUUUAUUUUAAGGGAUGUACCUGUUGGUGGAGAUGUUAGCAAAUCAUAAGAAAAGUAAAAAGUUGAUGAAAUUCGCCAGAGCCGCUUGGGAGCCAGCUCUGCUGUCUGGUGGUUUUAACGACGUCAUCCCUUCCAAUUCUGGUCUUUUAGCCUAUUGACUCCUGCCUCCUUAGCAAGAGGGAUAUGGCCCUGGUCUGGGCGCUCUGAAAGAUGAGGCAAAGUGAAAAGGCCCCAGCCUCUGGGCCGCAGAGCCUCUAAGCAGAGGUGGGCAUGGCGAUGGUGGUAAUAGUAGCAACAGCACUCUCUGCUGCUGUUGACAGGUGCCCGCUGUGUGCCGGGGCUCCUGCAUUCAGAAAAGCACCGGCUCUGGGACCCAAGGUCUCGGUUCAGAUGGAGUCGUCUUUGUUUCCAGGCCGUGUUGAUCAAGGGCAAGUCAUUUCACCUCUCUGGCCUCAUUUCCUUAUCUGUAAAAUGGAGGCAGUAAGUGUCAACUUUCUGAACACAUGGAAAGCUGGGUUCAUGGUGAGCACCCCAUAAAUGCUAUUGCUUCCUUGCCUUAUUUCUAAGGCUCAGACUAUGCCUGCAAGGGGGCAUUUUCAUCACCUCCAUUCCACCGGGGGAAGCAGCGAACCUCUGAGAGGCUAAGUGGGUUCCCCAAGAUUCAACCAGCUGAUAAGUGUUGGGCCAGGGCUUGAACCCAGCCCUGCCAUCCUUCCAAGCCCACGUGCUGCCAUAGCAUUCACCGACGCGUGUUGCGGCACACGUGUGCGUGGUGCCCCGGGUGUGGACAGCAUGUUGGUACGCAGAGGUGCAGAGGUGUGUGUGUGUAAUGUUUGCACGCGUGCAUAGGUGUCCUCUUAUUUCUCCAUUGCGUGAGGUUCCUGGUAGUCGGCAGUUUUGAAAGAGGUGAGCUGGUGUUUGGAGGUGCAUUUGUCGGAGUGGGCCACACAGUCCUCAGACCACACCUGGGGAUGACUGUGCCAUGGGCUCUCCACCACCCCAGGGAUGCCCGUGGGAAGAAGGGUGGUUUUCCCCAGUCCAGGGCUAGCCAAAGCCGGCAGCAGGUGGACUGGGCAUCCAGGCGUGGGCUUCUCGUAGGUGCUCAGCACUGCUGAGGGAGGCUCUGGCUGAGUGGCCUGCAUGCUGGGCCUUGGCCAGACGCGCUGCUGCCUCCUUAUGUGGACAGGCGGUUCUGGGCGCCGGCCAUUUGCAGACUGGGAGGAGUGGAAGUGAGGCCUGCGGGCCCCGGAGAGGAAAUGGCGGCGUGGGCAGGCCCAGAACAGGACCGGGAAGGCGGGCCGAGGGAGGGAGUGGCCCAGAAGGCCUCUGUCAGCCGGUCAGCAUGCUAGCGGCCUUUCUCCAAGAAGCGGCCAGCUGGCCAGGCCUUCCCGGGCAGGUCUGUCUGCCCACAUGCACACACGUGCACCUGCGUGCCAGGGCACGGGGAGGUUUAGUGGCCUUAUUUCCUAAUAGGGAACAUAGCAGGGCCUGGGGUUUGAUGAGACGGCGUAACACCCAGCACACCUUCAGACAAAAGAGACCGUGAUAAAAACGGUUCUUACUACAAGGUCCCAGCUUCUGUCUUUAAAAUGGGGCUUCCAGCCUCCGCCUCAGUAGAUGGUUGGAGGCACUACAUGAGAUCCUGGUCUGGGGAGCCCCUGGUUCGUUGGUGUUUCCCUUGCCUUGGCCUAGUAAGAGGGGACAGGAGGCCCAGGCUCUAUGGUGGGCCUGUCUCAGCCCAUUUCAAACCCUACCCACUGCCUUCCCAUGACCUUAACAGGAUGGCAUUACCCAGCACUCGCCCAGAUGCCAGGGUGGCACCGGGUGAGUGGCAGUUUUGGGUGGUGCUGGAGAAGGGUCCAGGCAUCGGCUGGUAUGAGUCUCUGGGUUUCCGAGCUUCAAGGAGGGCUGGAUUCAGGGUGUGGGCCGGGCCAGCCGUUCCGGCAAAACCCCAGAAGGAAUCCACAGGAGGUGGGGACCGGGAAGGCAGCCGGGUUGCGCCAGUGCCUGCAAGGGAACCUCUGGCCCCAUUUCCUGGGAGCCUGACCCCGCCCUAGGAUUCCUGGAGUGGGUGUGCCCACGCUUCCGGCCCAGACGUGGGUGGAGGGAUCCCACCCUGCCAGGCCUCCCGCCUGUGCGGCUUCUUUCAACUCGUUGAGAGGAGGACUCCUCCUAGGCCUGGUGCUUCGAGGUCCAGACGAGCAGACACUGGCGCCUGUGACCCUGCAGCGGACGCCCUUCAAAGUCCGCGUGGCAGCGUUUGGAAGCCUGGGCGGCGUGGAGACGGCACCUUCAGCUUGAGAUAAACGUGGCCCCGUCCCAGAGCACCACCCGAGACAUCAGGAGCCCAUCGUGGGCUAGGGAAGACCUUCCGGGACCUCACGGCCCAGGUCUUCCACUCUUGGCCACCUCCCCAGGUGAUGCCUGAAGCUCAAGGGACUGUGUCCACCCUCAGGCCCUGCCCGUGGCUCCGGAUCGGCGGUCCCCAUCAGAGGCCUGGGCUGAGUCCUCAGGUCAAGAAGUGGCGCUGACCUGGAGCCCCUGCCUGGGGCUGGCCUUCCUCACAGUGAGCUGGGCCUCCUGCCAUCCUGGCUCUGGAGGGCAUCUGAGUGAAGAGGCACGCUCAGCCUCACCUUCACACCCUGAAGACUCACUCUCUGGCCCUGGGCUCUGUUGUGUGCACCGCCUGUCUGCAGGGCCCAGCCUGCCUCGAGCACUCCCUGGGGACAGAAGCUCCUGCGCUGGCCUCUCCUGUCACCUAGCCACCGGGCAUCCUGGAGUGCAGCCCUUAUGCCCCGAGGCCACCUGCCAUCGCCCGGGAUGACUCAAGAUGCCACCUGGGUAAGUCUAGCCCAGAACGAGAAAGGCUGAAUGAGGGAAACUGAGUCACAUCUGCUUCUCCCAGGUGGGGCUGGGGGCCCAGGGGGAGGGCACUUGUGGCGACCACCAGGGUGGACUAGGGGCCUGUCUCCCAUUCUGUCUCUGCCACACCUUAUAGAGCCCGACCUGUGGGCUGGGGCCCCCUAUGGUGAGCACUGCAGGCUCUAGGAGGCUGAAGUCCUGGCCUGGGGGACCUGUGGGGGCCAGGCUGGGGCCAUUGGAAUCAGUGUGGUGGUCCCCACCUGCACUCCAGCUCCGAUGGCUGAUGACGGGGGCCCUGGCAGCUGACCCCUUGCCUCAGUGGGGAGACCACGGCUCACGAGGGCGUGAGACCUGCCCAGAGCAUAGCCCAGAGGCCAGCCUGGAUUCUCACAGCUCCGCCCACUGGGCUGUCCUGCCCCACCCUCUUCUUAGCCUGCUGGGACCAUGAGUCAGAACCCAGUAGGUGUGAGGGGACCCAGCCAGCCCAGGUGGCCAGUCCAGCCUGAGGGGGUGGGGGUCUCAGAGACUAAGUCAGGAGCCCAGAGUGCGUGCUUAGGGUGCAACCCACCCCACAGCCUCCCCCAAGGCACCUCCCGGGGGUGCAGAUGGGGGCAGACGCAGGGACACUCAGGGUGGACCACCUGACUGGGAGCUGAUUAUGAGGUGAGCGACAGCCUGAGUCAGCCUGAGCUCAGAGGAGCUGGGAUGGCCUUGAUCUUCCCCCUCCGGCCACUCACCACAGCUGGGAGGGUCCAAGGAGACCCUCAGCCACUGUCCCUUCAGCCCCCACCCCACCCUGGCUGGCUCUGCCCAGACACUCCUUAGGGACAUCUUGGUCCUGCCCACCAGCCAGGGGACCCAGAAUUGGAGCAGGGGAACAGGACCGCCAGACCCUCUCAUACCGCUUUUGUUCUGAGGCCUUGAGGGAACAUGGGGUCUUUGCGACCGCAGGCCAGAUGAUGCUGGGACAGAGGAGGGUCGGGCUGCAUUGGGGCCCUCCUGGUCCCCACUCUUGGGUGAGUCAGCAUCUCAGUCUCCAGUUCUGGGUGGGUGGCACCAGGUGUGAGCCUCAGUGGUCUCCUUGCUGGCUAAGGACCUGGGAUUUGCUCCAGUGCCCCUCGGGAGGGAGUAGGACACAGUGCCCAGAGAGCAAGCAGACCCCCUCCCCGACCAACUUCUGAGAGCAAAGACACCUAGAACUAGAGAUUCAGCACCCCCUGAGCCUCAGUUUCCCCAUUAUGAAGUGGGAUCCGUGAUCUCAGCCUCACCAGGGCUGAGAGGAUUAAAUGGUCCAGCCCAGCCUGGGGUCUGCCUGGAGUAGGCAGCCUGCUCAGGACGGGCUGUGGAAGGAGGGCUGGGGUAGACCUUUCAAGUCCACUUGGGCAUGGGGAGCUGAGAGCUAGCAUGCCGUUUAACUUGGCAGGAAGCAGGCCGGGCGCAGUGGCUCACGCCUGUAAUCCCAGCACUUUGGGAGGCUGAGGCGGGCGGAUCACGAGGUCAGGAGAUCAAGACCAUCCUGGCUAACACGGUGAAACCCCCUGUCUACUAAAAAUACAAAAAAUCAGCCGGGCGUAGUGGCGGGCACCUGUAGUCCCAGCUACUCAGGAGGCUGAGGCAGGAGAAUGGCGUGAACCCAGGAGGCGGAGCUUGCAGUGAGCUGAGAUCGCGCCACUGCACUCCAGCCUGGGGAACAGAGUGAGACUCCGUCUCAAAAAAAAAAAAAAAAAAAAAAAAAGAAAGCUUGGCAGGGAGCAGAACAUUUGGAACUCACUCUGCUGCCCCCCUUGGCUGUGUGACAUCCAGGUCACGUUGCCUCUCUGGGCCUCGGUCUCCUCACCUGUUUAAGAGGGGUUGACAGUCGUACCUGCCCCCUCAGCUUUUCCCCAGGAAGGUGGUAGCCACAAUUAGCAUUUGUUGAGGCUGACCCUGCACCAGGCCCAGGAUAGGCGGGGCUCAGGGAGGCCCGUCUCUUGCCACGUUCCCCUGCUAGGGGAGCCCCGAGGCCCUCUCAGUGUCAUCCUCAUGCUACACUGUGUCCCAGCCCUGUGAAUCCCAAGCUAAGUCACUGAGUGUGCCAGCACCCGCAGGGACAGGCACUGGACCCUGGGUGGACCUGAGGGUCUGUGACUGCCCCCCAGCUGCUCUCCCCUAGAGGCCACUUCCCUCAAGGAAGGAAAGAACCUUCCCGCCACCUCCUGCAGUACGGUCAGCUCAGGCCUCAAGGAAGGAAAGAACCUUCCCGCCACCUCCUGCAGUACGGUCAGCUUAGGCCAGCCUGCACAGCAGGGCCAGAACCGGAGCCCCUGGGGAGGGAUGCCUGCCUGCCCAGUGGGAGGAGACAGCACGCCCGUGAAGCUGCUACUCAGCCAGCCUGGGGGCCACGAGUGCUGCUUCUGGUGGUGCUGUGCGGGGAGGGAGGGGGCCGAGCAGGGUGGGCACUCGCACGCCUGUGUCUUGCUGGCCUUCGACAGAUGACAGCCCUCCUCCUAGGGUCUCCAGUGCAGAGUUCCUUGGGGACAUUAUGGCCACUCCUGUCCAGAUGAGAGGGAGCUGGCUGCCUGUGACAGCGUCGCAAAAUGCCGCUAGGGCUUUCCCUCCCUCCUCCUUUCUCUCUUCCUCGUCCCUCUCUGGUUGGUGGUUUCCUGCAGGCUCCUGUCCCUGCUGGUGCUGGCCACAAUGUCCCCACUCCCAGGGUUUCAGCGUCCCAGCCCCCUGCACCCACCGUGCCUGCCCGCCAGAAUCCCUGUGCCUUUGGUGCCUGUGGCCUGCCGAGCCUUAAGCCUCUGUUCUCCUCAGCCCUCUUUCCUCCCCCGCCCCAGGAGGUGCCUCUGGAAGCCAUGGAGUCCCAUCGGCACCAAGACCGACUGCCCUUUGGGGUGAGGUAGUAGGUUGUAUAGUUUGGGGCUCUGCCCUGCUAUGGGAUAACUAUACAAUCUACUGUCUUUCCUGAAGUGGCUGUAAUAUCUGCGGUGGACAGAGCGUCUGGAACCCUGGCUGGGAGCGGGCAGGGGCAGGUUUGGGGGCAGCUUUGGCAGCAGCUGGGGGCAGGGGCCGCCUACACUAAGAAGUCUGACAGGCCUAGGUUCCACUUGCUGUGUGACCUUGGACAGGCCCCUGAUCUCUCUGGGCCUCAGUUUCCUCCUCUGUAAAAUGGAGGCAAAUGAGGAUGGAAGGAGAUGCGGUGUGGAGCAUCGUGGGCAGGAGAGCUGAGCCGACCCCACCCUCUGCCCCAGCCGCACUGAGAGAGGCGAUCCAUGCAGCUGUUUGUCUGACCUCUGUCUCCCAACACUCCCCAACACUCCCCCUGCCAUCAGGCCCAGGCUCAUGGGUGGCCCUGAGCCGUACCCUCCACUGAGCACCAGGAGAAGGCACCAUGGGGCCAGGGGUGGCCGAGACGUUUGGAGGUCACAGGGCUGCGAGUAUUUGUGUUGCCCAUCACCCCAGGUUCCCAGCAUGUGCCCCAGCCUGGCCAGCUCAGUGGCAGGGACUCUGCCUGUGGAGGAAGGGAGGCCAAGGCACCUUUCCUGAGCAGGAAGUGAGAGGAACAGCUCUGCAUACACUGGGUCGCACAUGGCACAAUCUGAAGGCAGACAGUGGCUCCUCUGUACCUGGGGAAACUGAGGCCCAGAGAGCCGGGGGCUUCCCGAGACCAGCCAGCAGCAGCUGCCCCUUCCUGGGGUGACAUCUCCCCUGUCCCUCCUGCCCUGCGCCUGCCCAGCCCUCCUGCUCUGGUGACUGAGGACCGCCAGGCAGGGGCUGGUGCUGGGCGGGGGGCGGCGGGCCCUCCCGCAGUGCAAGGCCGGGCCUGGCGGGGUGAGGUAGUAGGUUGUGUGGUUUCAGGGCAGUGAUGUUGCCCCUCAGAAGAUAACUAUACAACCUACUGCCUUCCCUGAGGAGCCCAGUGACACAACCCCAUGGGAGGGCCGCCCCCUACCUCGGUGACACGACCCCACGGGAGGGCUGCCCCCCACCUCGGUGACCUGCAGGGGGUCUGAGCCGAAGCUGGGUGGGCAUCUGGGAGCUAGAUUCAAUAAAGCUGUUCUGACCAUGAA